Molecule: long non-coding RNA, 1372 nt
Organism: Portunus trituberculatus (swimming crab)
Lineage: Eukaryota; Metazoa; Arthropoda; Malacostraca; Decapoda; Portunidae
Exons: 2
Source: RefSeq, a predicted model, not a curated record
AAUUUCUUAAAUAUAUACACCAUCAAGAACUGAACUGACUGCUCCAUAAAGUAACCUUAUUCUCAUUGAGUAUGAAAUACCAUUAUUUAUGGAAGAUAUUGUCAUUUUCAGUUCUGCUCCUGAGAUCUGACUUGGUGGCUCAAGCACAUACUUACCUCUAGCCACCAAGAACAUAUAAAGCCACACAUAUGAGGAGAACCAUGGGGUGCUUACUACAUUCACUGUGACAGUCUAUGAUCUAUUGGUUUACACAUGCUUGAAUGGCCAUGAUGGUGACCCUUAGACAGGCAUACAACACCACAGCCUCACCAGUGGUUUUAUGUGAAAGGACUGGUCUGUGUCCCAUCCUUUCCUACAUGUCUAGAGAAAAUCAAGGAGAAAAUUACAGUGGCUCUGAAGACCAUUACACAAGACAUGCUGCAGCGAGUGUGACACGAACUCCAUUACUGACUUGAUGUUUGGCAUGUCACAAGAGAACACAUUGAACAUUGGUAAUAACUUCAGAACAUUGUAAAAUUACUAUCUCAAAGAAUUUUCUUGGAAAUUUAUUGAAGAAAACUUGUUACAUUCACAAUUUAAUUUCUCUACACCACAUUCAUUCCAAUAUGGAAAUCUAAAAUACAUAAUGUCAAAUUUUUAGGGACACCCUGUACUUAGAUUAUACAUGAAAAACAGAAUUAUAAUAAAAAAAAUUUGAAAGCAAAUGAUGUUGGUAAUCAGCAAAAUACAUAGUACAUAAGUAUAAAAAAGAAAGGAAUAUAAAACCUUGUACCAUAUGUAGGCUGUUUUCCCUUGAUUUGUGUUUACAAGCUUUUUUGAAUUGUGGUAUGGGUCUGUGGUUGAUCAUGAAAAGAAAAAAAAUCUGGAGUACAUUAACUAGUCUCAUAAUAAAAAUUACAGUCUAAUCUGAGCUCCAGUUUAUACUUAACUUGAUGAUUCAGCAGAUGCAAUGCUUUUCAACAAUUGAAACAAUGAAUGGAACAGUUUUCUUAACAUAGUAUAUGCAUAAGAUGUGUACUCAAUAAAUGUAAAAACCUGUAACAUACUGCUUUGUUCCUCUGCCCUGAAAGAGAUGCUGUAACCAAACCAUGAGAAGGAAGCCUGCACACCUGUCAUAUAGAAUAUCCAUUUCUUAUCGAUAAGGUUCAUUACUUAUUUGUACUUCAAGACCGAUAAUCAUGGCAGUAUUUUCUGAUAGUAAUUUGUAUUGUCAUUAGUGAGUUUUCAGUCCUUAUUUGAAAGUGUAAGGCCAAGAGAAACCAAAACAUGCUUGUGAAGCCUUAGCUUUAAAGUGAGACAUGACAAACCAUUCCAUACUUAACUUAUUAGUGAUGUGCUGAUUCCAAACAUAUUCAAAUAAUUACAAAUACAA